UAAAAUAUACAAACAAAUUAAAAAAUAAAAGGAAAAAGACAUCACCAUAAAAACAAACAAAAUGCCCUCGAGAUACCCUUCCUCUCACUUGAGGACACAAAAUAAUGUAAAACAGUUGCCGGAACCCCUAGGCAUUACAAAGUUUUGCUCUUGUUCCUGUUUCUGAUGAAUUCAUAACAGUGAAAAAUGGAUAUUUUGCUCUUUUUUUUUUUUUCUUUCUUAAGGCAGCCUGUUCCCCGGGAUCAAAUAAGAAUCUGAUUAGGAAAAUAGGAGAGACCCAAGGAGGUGCCUUGUAUCAGUCGGGUCCUCCAGAGAGAGAGAACCAAUAGGAAAUCUAGAUAAAUAGAGAGGCACAGAUAUAAAGAGAUGUAUUAUGAGGAACUGGCUCAUGUGAUGACGGACGCUAAGUUCCACAAUCUCUCAUCUGCAAGCUGGGGACCCAGGAAAGCCAGUGGUGCAAUUCAGUCUGAAUCCGAAGGCCUAAGAACCAGGGGAGCCGAUGAUGUAGGGCAGAAGACCAGCUCCACAGUCAGGGAGAGAGAAAGACUUCAACCUUUCCUCUGCCUUUUUGUUCUACUCAGGCCCUCGAUGGGUUGGGUGAUGCCCACCCACAUUGGGGAGGGCCAUCUGCUGGACUCAGUCCACUGAUUCAAAUGCUAACCUCCUCCAGAAGCACCCUCACAGACACACCCAGAAUGUUUAACCAGAUAUCUGUGCAUCCCUUGACCCAGUUAAGUUGACACAUCACCUGCCUGGUAAGGGAAGGGCUGGUGGAAGGUGGGAAAGGAGAGUGAACAGACGGGCCGGGAGUUUGGUGGGAAGAAGUCACAGCAGAUAUCCUUGUCAUGUCCCUCAAUCAUGUCACCUUUGGCACAGAUGCCAGAGGUUACUCUACCCUGCCCUGCAUUCUAGAAUGUGGGAUCCAUUGAAAGCUAUUUAGUAACCACUGGCCUGCCUGAGAGUCCUUAAGCCCUUUGUAUUGCAGUAUCGCUGAGUGAUUUACAAAACUACCAUUACUUACAGGAGCUGGGUCUUCAUAAUAAGAAAAAACCAUAUGGUUGGAAAAGUCACGUGCCAGCACAUGGAGGCUACAGAGCUGAAGAAGAGACGAACCCUGCGCUUGAGGAUCUUAGAGACGACAGACCCAAAAACAGAUCGUUCAGAUAUAAUGUUGCUUUUCACUUUGUUAUGGGUUGAAUUGUGUCCCCCUAGAAAGAUAUGUUGGAGUCCUAACUCCAAUACCUCAGAAUGUGACCUUAUUUGGAAAUAGGGUCUUUACAAAGGUAAUCAAGUCAAAAUGAAGCCAUUAAGAUGGUCCCUAAUCCUAUAUGACUGGUGUCCUUAUAAAAAGGGGAAAUUUGGACACAGUUUCUUCAGUCCCACUGCCGGGGUUUGAGUCUCCCUCCCAUGGCUGUGUGACCCAUGGCAAGUUGAUCAACUUGCUUAAGCCUCUGUUUUCUCAUCUCUAAAGUGGGGUUGCUAAUAGUAUCUAUGUUGUAAGACUGCUGAAAGAUUCAACAUACAUCCAGUUACUUGUCAUUUCCAUGAAGCAGCCUUCCAUUGUCCCAGCGUGCAUCUUACAUUCAUACCUCCAGAGAAAAUCUGCUGGGGUGACAUUGUACCAUCCUGUAUGGAGCAUCCCUAUUGGACAGACUCUCACAGGCCCGUAUCACCAGUGACUGGUCAUGCUUACGUCCAGCCUAUCCAUUGCCACUUUGGGCUUGGGUCUCCAUCCCAGGACUGACCCAAUGGCAGCAGAAGAAUAAUCUAGUCACAUGAUACCAGGUGAAGCAAGAGCACGGUGCCCCCCGCCUCCCAAAGUAACCACUUUCCUCAGAGGAGGACUCUGGGUGUAGCAGGCACUCAGAACUGGUUGGCCUGUGCAGUACCAUUGGUUAAGAAAGGAAAAGAACCCAGGAAGAGCCUGAAAGAAAAUGAAGGAACAAGGGAUAACAAAUCUAUUAUUAUUGUUUUAGGCUUGUUGGGAGCAUUGAUUGAAUCCAUCCACAGAGAGUACUCAGCAAAGUGCUGGGCACAUUGAGAGCGCUCAAUAUAUGGUAGCAUUGAGGGUGACGACGAUGAUGACGAUGUUGAAGCUGAUGGCUGUUAUCAGGUCUAUUUGAGGUUGAAGAACAGGUACAGAAUGACGGGGAGAGGGAGAUAAAAACCCUAAGGUUUCAAAGCAAGAGCAGUUCCUGGGGAUGUAACAGGCCAGGCUGAGGUCCUGGAGGCGAGAGUGUGACACUGGUACACCCAGCAGCUCCUUCCUCCCUGAGUCUGCAGACAGAUUCAGAGUGCCUAAGCUUUGUACUCUCCUGGGGUCUCACCCAGUGCCCACUCUUCCUACCUCGGCUCCCUGGGGAGACUUUGCCAUCCCUGAUGCCUUGUUCGAGGUAGUCGAUUCUCUCUUCAUCCCAGGACUCCAGGAAGGGGCCAGUAUUUGAGGCCCUCCUGCCACGGAGAAUUCGCGCUCUUGCAGAGCGGCCGGGUGGCACACACAGGUGACCAGCGUGAGCUUGGGCUGCGGGGGAGGUUCCAGAACAUGAGGCUAUUUUUAGCCUGGCACAGAUGCCCAAUUCCCAGCUAAGGGAGAGGGCAUGGUAGGUGGGAAGCAAUCUUGCUUUCAUCAUUGAUUAUUUUAUUAACCACUUAGGACGCUGCCUGCAGUGAACAUCACCUGGUUUCCUUGCUUCCUUUUCACGUUCCUUCCUGCUUAUGACUUCAGAAACAGCAUGCUCCCCCAGGGCCCACAUAGGGGUCAGGGAGAAAAUGAAAUUGACCAAGUGACAAUGAAUGAGGGCAAGGCAGGGAUAAAUGUCCCAUUCUGCCCCGUCAGCAGCGGGAGUGGGUCCAAAAAGACACUUAGCCUCACAAAUUGCUCACUUAUCCUCCCUGUAGUGAGUUUGCUCCAAAUGGUUUGGAAAACCAUUGCGGCUAAUGACAGGCGGCAGGCCCGUGGCUGGAAGCUGGCCAGGAUGGGCCCAGCAGGAGUCUGAAUUGCGCCUGGAUUCAUUAUCUUUAUCUAGUCCAACAUUUUACGGGUGGGUUUUUUGUUUGAUUUCAAAGUGAGAUGGUUAGGUCAUUAUUUGUUAAAUUAUAGCUUUUAAUUAGAGGAUCUAUUGAAAUGAAAAGCCUGACAGAGGUUUGCAUGCCUCUAAGUUUUUGUUUGGAAUUUAUAAUUAUCGCUGUUUGGAAAAGAUUAGUUUGGGGGCGUUAAAGUCUUUCUUUUAAGAAAAUCCUCAAAUUAUAUGCUGUUGGGGGAGGGGGUGAAGGGAGAAGCCAGUAAGCUAGAUAUAGACUUUACAAGUGAUGUUAUCUGUGUUAUUAUCCAUGCCCAGUGUCCUUGUAUUUGCAGAAAAAGAGAGGCAUGGAUGUUCUAUAAUAAUUUAUAUGCUUUUUCCCAGGGUAAGCCCAGACGGGAAACGAGGCCCCAACGAAGUAGUGAGCUGGCCAGCAGAGUGGGUAGCCAAGGCGCUGGCUCAGAUGGAGUUUUGUUUACCACUUCCCCAUUCCUGUUCUCCCGGAAGGUAGGGAAGGGGGGCAGCCUUGGUAGAUUUUUCCCCUUGGGGACUUGGUUUCUGGCUUUGAGAGGAACGAGGAACGUACCUCGUUCCGUGUUCCGACUGGCGCCUCGCGUCCAGCAGGGGGCGCGCCGCCGCCGGAUUGAGAGCCGUCGCCUCCUUCCCUCGGGAAAGCGCGCCCCCGCCCUCGGCGCGAGCCGUGGGCUUUUCUUCGCGUCUCCCUGUUGGUUUUCCUUCUCUGCUAAGAGCAAGGAUGCAGAUGACGUUCUCUGCGCGUUGGGCCUUGGGCUAUGAGCAGCUGUCAAGGUCCCACCGACAGCGAGAGGAAAGCCUCUGUAGAGCGCGCGCCGGGCGAGCCCGCGGCCACCGUCCCCUCCUCCGACCUCCUCUGGUGCUUCCACGCCUCGUGCCACUGGACCACAAUCCCCAUUAGGACGGAGACCAGGGUUGUCCUGUGAUGUAUUAGGGACCCCCAACACAGGGCCUGAAACACAAUAAAUACUCAGUGAAUGGAUAAAUAAAUUCACGUAAACCGUU
RNAcentral lists this long non-coding RNA (4058 nucleotides) under Equus asinus (donkey). Its description in RNAcentral is "lncRNA (ENSEASG00005029077.1)". The record is from RNAcentral. Lineage: Eukaryota; Metazoa; Chordata; Mammalia; Perissodactyla; Equidae.